This 391-nucleotide long non-coding RNA is filed under the name Ananas comosus (pineapple). RNAcentral describes it as "long non-coding RNA (ACOM_LNC001269)". Lineage: Eukaryota; Viridiplantae; Streptophyta; Magnoliopsida; Poales; Bromeliaceae. The record is from RNAcentral.
AAAAAGAAGAGAGUAUAUUCUGACUAAUUUACUAAAGAUCCAAAUCAAGUCAGUAAAAUUUAAAAAAAAUACCCGGUUCAGUAAAAUUUUUUGCUGGCUCAUCCUCAAAAAAAGGCCCCUCACUGUAGAUAAUCUCCUUAAGAGAGGAUGGACUGGUAACACGGACUGUGUACUAUGUAGGACGGCAGAAGAAACUGUGGAUCAUUUAUUUACCCGGUGUGUAUUUUCCAGAUUCCUUUUGGUUUUGGCUUUGGAGAAUAUUCAGCGAAGGGAUUUGGGUCAUGACAUGACUUCAGUUUGGGACAUAUGGAUGUGCAGAAAAAACUCUCAUUUCUAAUGAAGUUGGUAGCAUGCUGUUUUUUCCUUAAAAAAAAAAAAAUUAAAAAAAAUA